GUAUUGAAAGGUUGUUCACGAGC
RNAcentral lists this microRNA (23 nucleotides) under Pristionchus pacificus. Its description in RNAcentral is "ppc-miR-8305-3p". The record is from miRBase by way of RNAcentral. Lineage: Eukaryota; Metazoa; Nematoda; Chromadorea; Rhabditida; Neodiplogasteridae.